CCUACGGGAGGCAGCAGUAGGGAAUUUUCCACAAUGGACGAAAGUCUGAUGGAGCAACGCCGCGUGAGUGAAGAAGGGUUUCGGCUCGUAAAGCUCUGUUGGUAGUGAAGAAAGAUAGAGGUAGUAACUGGCCUUUAUUUGACGGUAAUUACUUAGAAAGUCACGGCUAACUACGUGCCAGCAGCCGCGGUAAUACGUAGGUGGCAAGCGUUGUCCGGAUUUAUUGGGCGUAAAGCGAGUGCAGGCGGUGCAAUAAGUCUGAUGUGAAAGCCUUCGGCUCAACCGGAGAAUUGCAUCAGAAACUGUUGAACUGGAGUGCAGAAGAGGAGAGUGGAACUCCAUGUGUAGCGGUGGAAUGCGUAGAUAUAUGGAAGAACACCAGUGGCGAAGGCGGCUCUCUGGUCUGCAACUGACGCUGAGGCUCGAAAGCAUGGGUAGCGAACAGGAUUAGAUACCCGUGUAGUC
This 465-nucleotide ribosomal RNA is filed under the name uncultured bacterium. RNAcentral describes it as "partial 16S ribosomal RNA". It matches the Rfam family "Bacterial small subunit ribosomal RNA", at positions 338 to 795 of the family's 1533-position model. The record is from RNAcentral.